CCUGCCGGACCUGACUGCUAUCGGAUUGAUACUAAGCCAUGCGAGUCUUUGUAGUAAUACAAGGCAGACGGCUCAGUAACACGUAGUCAACCUACCCUAUGGACAAGAAUAAUCUCGGGAAACUGAGCAUAAUUCUUGAUAGAUCAUAAUGCCUGGAAUGGUUUAUGGUUAAAAUGAUUCGUCGCCAUAGGAUGGGACUGCGGCCUAUCAGCUUGUUGGUGAGGUAAUGGCCCACCAAGGCGAUUACAGGUACGGGCUCUGAGAGGAGAAGCCCGGAGAUGGGUACUGAGACACGGACCCAGGCCCUAUGGGGCGCAGCAGGCGAGAAAACUUUGCAAUGUGCGAAAGCACGACAAGGUUAAUCCGAGUGAUUUCUGCUAAAGAAAUCUUUUGCCAGUCAUAAAACCACUGGUGAAUAAGGGGUGGGCAAGUUCUGGUGUCAGCCGCCGCGGUAAAACCAGCACCUCAAGUGGUCAGGAUGAUUAUUGGGCCUAAAGCAUCCGUAGCCGGCCUUGUAAGUUUUCGGUUAAAUCCAUGUGCUCAACGCAUGGGCUGCCGAAAAUACUGCAUAGCUAGGGAGUGGGAGAGGUAGACGGUACUCAGUAGGAAGGGGUAAAAUCCUUUGAUCUAUUGAUGACCACCUGUGGCGAAGGCGGUCUACCAGAACACGUUCGACGGUGAGGGAUGAAAGCUGGGGGAGCAAACCGGAUUAGAUACCCGGGUAGUCCCAGCUGUAAACGAUGCAGACUCGAUGAUGCAUUGGCAUAAUAGCCAAUGCAGUGUCGCAGGGAAGCCGUUAAGUCUGCCGCCUGGGAAGUACGUACGCAAGUAUGAAACUUAAAGGA
This 845-nucleotide ribosomal RNA is filed under the name uncultured marine group I thaumarchaeote. RNAcentral describes it as "SSU rRNA". It matches the Rfam family "Archaeal small subunit ribosomal RNA", at positions 13 to 863 of the family's 1478-position model. The record is from RNAcentral. Lineage: Archaea; Thermoproteati; Nitrososphaerota.